ACGUAGGGUGCAAGCGUUGUCCGGAAUUACUGGGUGUAAAGGGAGCGCAGGCGGACCGGCAAGUUGGAAGUGAAAACUAUGGGCUCAACCCAUAAAUUGCUUUCAAAACUGCUGGCCUUGAGUAGUGCAGAGGUGGGUGGAAUUCCCGGUGUAGCGGUGGAAUGCGUAGAUAUCGGGAGGAACACCAGUGGCGAAGGCGACCUACUGGGCACCAACUGACGCUGAGGCUCGAAAGCAUGGGUAGCAAACAG
This 251-nucleotide ribosomal RNA is filed under the name uncultured bacterium. Its description in RNAcentral is "partial 16S ribosomal RNA". It matches the Rfam family "Bacterial small subunit ribosomal RNA", at positions 525 to 775 of the family's 1533-position model. The record is from RNAcentral.